ACCUGCCCUUGACUCACCAGGACUCCUCAGCUCAGCUUCUCAAAAUGAGGCUCCCUGCUCAGCUCCUGGGGCUGCUGCUGCUCUGGAUCCCUGGAACCAGUGGGGAUAUUGUCAUGACCCAGACUCCUGUCUCCGAGCCUGUCACCCCUGGAGAGCCAGCCUCCAUCUCCUGCAGUGUCCAGCUGAAAUACAGUGAGGAUGCAGUUUCCACUCUCCCUGCCUGACACCCUUGACUCCCUGCCUUCAUUUUUGAAAGGAUCAGAGUUGGAAAAAUCACUCAUAUGUUACCAAGAAAGUAGAAGGUUGUGCCAUGGUGUCAAGGAGAUUCCUAGAUAAUAGAGCUCCUGGUGAAUGUAACGGAAAUCCCAACUAUUUGUGAUGAGUAUUAAAUUUAUAUGCAAAUAUUUAUUUAUGUGGAUGAAAAAUAAUUCACAGUUCUUUAAAUUUAAAAUGAAUGUUGUGAAUAAGUAAUUUUUAAAAUAUUUGGAAUCCAAGAAAGGUGAAAGAAACAAUUGUGGUAAAGGGAAACUGUGAUUAAAACCACACAGUUAGGGCUGGGGAUGUGGC
Marmota flaviventris (yellow-bellied marmot) is the source of this 567-nucleotide long non-coding RNA. RefSeq lists it as uncharacterized. Lineage: Eukaryota; Metazoa; Chordata; Mammalia; Rodentia; Sciuridae. The record is from RefSeq and is a predicted model, not a curated record.